UACGUAUGGUGCAAGCGUUAUCCGGAUUUACUGGGUGUAAAGGGAGCGCAGGCGGCACGGCAAGCCUGAUGUGAAAGCCCGCGGCCCAACCGCGGGACUGCAUUGGGAACUACCGGGCUGGAGUGCCGGAGAGGUAGGCGGAAUUCCUGGUGUAGCGGUGAAAUGCGUAGAUAUUAGGAGGAACACCAGUGGCGAAGGCGGCCUACUGGACGGCGACUGACGCUGAGGCUCGAAAGCGUGGGGAGCAAACAGG
This 253-nucleotide ribosomal RNA is filed under the name uncultured bacterium. RNAcentral describes it as "partial 16S ribosomal RNA". It matches the Rfam family "Bacterial small subunit ribosomal RNA", at positions 524 to 776 of the family's 1533-position model. The record is from RNAcentral.